RNAcentral lists this small RNA (176 nucleotides) under Paenibacillus sp. P22. RNAcentral describes it as "Pseudomonas sRNA P4". Lineage: Bacteria; Bacillati; Bacillota; Bacilli; Caryophanales; Paenibacillaceae. The record is from RNAcentral.
AAGGCUUCACUCCUUGAUGCGGAUUCAGCGCGCCAUGGCUUGCCCGCUGCCGGGUGGCGGGCCGCUUAGAAGAACGUCCAGCUGCCGAACCACUUCAGGAAAUGAACGGCAUAAUCCCGGCUGAUCGUCUGUCCCGUCAGCACCGGAUAGAACAUCGCCAUCAGCGCGGCGGCAGC